Molecule: ribosomal RNA, 20 nt
Filed under: Crotalaria sphaerocarpa
Lineage: Eukaryota; Viridiplantae; Streptophyta; Magnoliopsida; Fabales; Fabaceae
Description: partial 18S ribosomal RNA
Source: RNAcentral
CUCAGCGGGUAGCCCCGCCU